AGUGGCGAACGGGUGAGUAACACGUGAGUAACCUGCCCUUGACUCUGGGAUAAGCCUGGGAAACUGGGUCUAAUACCGGAUAUGACUGACCGUCGCAUGGUGGUUGGUGGAAAGCUUUUGUGGUUUUGGAUGGACUCGCGGCCUAUCAGCUUGUUGGUGGGGUAAUGGCCUACCAAGGCGACGACGGGUAGCCGGCCUGAGAGGGUGACCGGCCACACUGGGACUGAGACACGGCCCAGACUCCUACGGGAGGCAGCAGUGGGGAAUAUUGCACAAUGGGCGCAAGCCUGAUGCAGCGACGCCGCGUGAGGGAUGACGGCCUUCGGGUUGUAAACCUCUUUCAGUAGGGAAGAAGCCACAAGGUGACGGUACCUGCAGAAGAAGCGCCGGCUAACUACGUGCCAGCAGCCGCGGUAAUACGUAGGGCGCAAGCGUUAUCCGGAAUUAUUGGGCGUAAAGAGCUCGUAGGCGGUUUGUCGCGUCUGCCGUGAAAGUCCGGGGGCUCAACUCCGGAUCUGCGGUGGGUACGGGCAGACUAGAGUGAUGUAGGGGAGACUGGAAUUCCUGGUGUAGCGGUGAAAUGCGCAGAUAUCAGGAGGAACACCGAUGGCGAAGGCAGGUCUCUGGGCAUUAACUGACGCUGAGGAGCGAAAGCAUGGGGAGCGAACAGGAUUAGAUACCCUGGUAGUCCAUGCCGUAAACGUUGGGCACUAGGUGUGGGGGACAUUCCACGUUUUCCGCGCCGUAGCUAACGCAUUAAGUGCCCCGCCUGGGGAGUACGGCCGCAAGGCUAAAACUCAAAGGAAUUGACGGGGGCCCGCACAAGCGGCGGAGCAUGCGGAUUAAUUCGAUGCAACGCGAAGAACCUUACCAAGGCUUGACAUGAACCGGAAAGACCUGGAAACAGGUCCCCCACUUGUGGUCGGUUUACAGGUGGUGCAUGGUUGUCGUCAGCUCGUGUCGUGAGAUGUUGGGUUAAGUCCCGCAACGAGCGCAACCCUCGUUCUAUGUUGCCAGCACGUGAUGGUGGGGACUCAUAGGAGACUGCCGGGGUCAACUCGGAGGAAGGUGGGGACGACGUCAAAUCAUCAUGCCCCUUAUGUCUUGGGCUUCACGCAUGCUACAAUGGCCGGUACAAAGGGUUGCGAUACUGUGAGGUGGAGCUAAUCCCAAAAAGCCGGUCUCAGUUCGGAUUGGGGUCUGCAACUCGACCCCAUGAAGUCGGAGUCGCUAGUAAUCGCAGAUCAGCAACGCUGCGGUGAAUACGUUCCCGGGCCUUGUACACACCGCCCGUCAAGUCACGAAAGUUGGUAACACCCGAAGCCGGUG
This 1329-nucleotide ribosomal RNA is filed under the name Pseudarthrobacter chlorophenolicus. RNAcentral describes it as "bacterial SSU rRNA". It matches the Rfam family "Bacterial small subunit ribosomal RNA", at positions 94 to 1432 of the family's 1533-position model. The record is from RNAcentral. Lineage: Bacteria; Bacillati; Actinomycetota; Actinomycetes; Micrococcales; Micrococcaceae.